Molecule: transfer RNA, 68 nt
Filed under: Ornithodoros savignyi
Lineage: Eukaryota; Metazoa; Arthropoda; Arachnida; Ixodida; Argasidae
Description: tRNA-Trp
Source: RNAcentral
UAAGAUUUUAAGUUAACCUAAACUAUAUGCCUUCAAAGCAUACUAUAAUAAUAAUAGUUAAAUCUUAG